CAACGUUAUUGUCGAAUUUUUCUCGUACCACGGAUAUUUUCACGGAUAGAAUUUGCGAGGCAUUUAAGUUUAUGGCUGCCCCAUCUAAAACCAGUUGUUCAGAAAAAGAAAUCACAACGAUGAUUGUAUAGGAAAUAUGCAUAUUCGUAAAAAUAUUUUAACAGAUAUAUCAUAUAGACGUAAACUUAAAAAAUGUGGUGUACCUAACCUUGAAGUUUCUACAAGAAAACAAUUAAUAUGUAUUCGGGUGGUACAUAUUGAAUAUCUUUCGAAAUCAAAUUUUAAUAGCAGGUAGUACUAAAGUAAUUAAGAUAAUUGAUAAUUGACGACAAGACAAUAUUUAAUUUCUGAUAUUUGUCCGCCAAAUUCAAUCAUUUCAUAUACAACUUAAUACAUAUAAUGAAGUAAAUCUACUAAUCCACAUACAUAGUAUACGUAUACGUACAUACAGUAUAGUAUAAUAGAGCGAAAAUAUUAAGCAAUAUGGCCAAUGACUCAUUGGUGGUGAAGGGCUAUAAUCAGUUAAAUAACAGGCAAUCAGAUUGAUCAAAUACGUGCAAAUUCCUCCCAAUCACGGCACGUGAACAAUCAAGACCGUAACCAGGCCAAUUGAAAGAUGGAUGCAGAAAGUUUCCAUAUUGGAGAAAGUUCAUGUAAUAUGAAUUAUAAUAAACUAUGGCUUUUGCUCUGCGGCCACGCAUAGUAUGAGAUACUAAGCGCGUAAAAACCACACAUGCAGAAAUUACCGACUGGUCUCGCGGCAACAGUUUUUAUCGCGGGCUAAUAAAAUUCAAUUAUUAUCGGGGCAAAAGUUGUUUUAAAACGCAACGAACGAAGAGCUCAUUAUAUAGGAAAUAUUGUUGCUAUUAUAAUCUUUUUCUCCUUGCUAUAUAUAAUUAACCAAGUUAAGUUAUAAUAAAUUUUUCUACUUACUCGAUGAGGAUAAGCCAGAUGCCACGUGACGUUAAAGUUACUCCCAGACAGUAAAGUAGUUUUAAUAUCGCCUGCAACAUAAAAUGAACGCAUUAUGCAACAUUGCGCGCGCUAUUCUAUACAAAUUUUCACGAUCGCUCGCCGCGCGUUAAAUUACGUCGAGAUACGGAAACUUGCAAUUUCUCAGGCUCAUCGAUUUAGACGAGAGACCUUACGAACAAUGAAAAGUUAAUAUUCAUUAGAGUAACGAGACACGAUAAUUCAUCACAAUCACCGGAAACAUGCAUGGAUACAAGUUCAGCGAAAUCUUGCGUGCGAAUAUCCUUAUCCACGCCCAGAUAG
Molecule: long non-coding RNA, 1275 nt
Organism: Bombus impatiens (common eastern bumble bee)
Lineage: Eukaryota; Metazoa; Arthropoda; Insecta; Hymenoptera; Apidae
Exons: 5
Source: RefSeq, a predicted model, not a curated record